RNAcentral lists this long non-coding RNA (231 nucleotides) under Mytilus galloprovincialis (Mediterranean mussel). Lineage: Eukaryota; Metazoa; Mollusca; Bivalvia; Mytilida; Mytilidae. The record is from RNAcentral.
CUGCCUGCUAGACAGGUACACAUUACAAUCAUACCAUAAAACAAAUAUAGUAGACCUAUUGCAUAUAGUAUGAGAAAAACAGACCCAAACACAAAAAUUUUACUAUAACCACUGAACCAUGAAAAUGAGGUCAAGGUCAGAUGACACCUGCCAGUUGGACAUGUACACCUUACAGUCCUUCCAUACACCAAAUAUACUAGCCCUAUUGCUUAUAGUAUCUGAGAUAUGGAC